UUUGCUGUAGCUCAGAGGUGGAGCAUGUGCUUAGCAUAUGCACGGCUCUGGGUUCAAUCCCCAGCACCAAAA
RNAcentral lists this transfer RNA (72 nucleotides) under Heterocephalus glaber (naked mole-rat). It matches the Rfam family "tRNA". From Rfam's summary of the family: Transfer RNA (tRNA) molecules are approximately 80 nucleotides in length. Their secondary structure includes four short double-helical elements and three loops (D, anti-codon, and T loops). Lineage: Eukaryota; Metazoa; Chordata; Mammalia; Rodentia; Bathyergidae. The record is from Rfam by way of RNAcentral.